RNAcentral lists this long non-coding RNA (624 nucleotides) under Lepisosteus oculatus (spotted gar). RNAcentral's name for it is "lncRNA (ENSLOCG00000021919.1)". The record is from RNAcentral. Lineage: Eukaryota; Metazoa; Chordata; Actinopteri; Semionotiformes; Lepisosteidae.
UCAACUGGCCACAAGUGAAACGUUCCCGACGAACAAACUCGUAGGUGAAUGUCGCUGUACCAGUUUGUCUGAAAAUCAUCAGCUGUUGAAUACUUUAUGCAUUUUUUGGUGAGUAAAAAUGUCUAUGUAUCGUCAGUAACGUCAGUGUUGAACCCUUGUAACUGAAUCCCCAGCUGUCCUUCAGGAGCCGAGCCCGCCUCCAGAGUGACCUUCCUCAGCGGACACGCCCCGUCCACCUGUUCCACAGGUGCGCCCGGCAAGAUGGCGGCGGGACGAGUUUCUGCGGCGUUUGGUGACAAAAGGAUUUAAAGCAGGGGCCUCCGGUUAAAAAAAGGGUUUUUCAACGGUACUUUCUGCGGCUCCUGCUCCUCUGCGCUCCGACGAUCUCCUCUCCAGCUCCGCUCCAGCAACUCCUUGUGACAAAGGAUUUCAAGAACGCGCCUGGAGUUAUGAAAGUUGUUUCCCCCAGGGUAAGUAAUGCUACCUUUCGCUAUACCAUUUCUAUUUGUGUAACUCCGUAAUACAACACCUGCUUCUCUGCAUUUUAACACCAGACCGGGUUUAUCCCAAGCUUCGUUUCGUUGUGCUUUUGUUGAAUAGAGAUAGGAAACUCUAAGUCGCAGA